This 231-nucleotide ribosomal RNA is filed under the name uncultured bacterium. RNAcentral describes it as "partial 16S ribosomal RNA". It matches the Rfam family "Bacterial small subunit ribosomal RNA", at positions 30 to 258 of the family's 1533-position model. The record is from RNAcentral.
AUUGAACGCUGGCGGCAUGCUUUACACAUGCAAGUCGAGCGGCAGCGCGGGGGCAACCCUGGCGGCGAGCGGCGAACGGGUGAGUAAUACAUCGGAACGUACCCGAGGAGUGGGGGAUAAGCCCGGCGAAAGCCGGAUUAAUACCGCAUACGAUCUUAGGAUGGAAAAGUGGGGACCGCAAGGCCUCACGCUUUUGGAGCGGCCGAUGUCCGAUUAGCUAGUUGGUGGGGU